RNAcentral lists this ribosomal RNA (971 nucleotides) under Burkholderia sp. L2 ecto 3. RNAcentral's name for it is "partial 16S ribosomal RNA". The stretch from base 1 to 415 matches the Rfam family "Bacterial small subunit ribosomal RNA", at positions 539 to 1533 of the family's 1533-position model. The record is from RNAcentral. Lineage: Bacteria; Pseudomonadati; Pseudomonadota; Betaproteobacteria; Burkholderiales; Burkholderiaceae.
CGACGUAUCGGAUUACUGGGCGUAAGCGUGCGCAGGCGGUUCGUUAAGACAGAUGUGAAAUCCCCGGGCUUAACCUGGGAACUGCAUUUGUGACUGGCGAGCUAGAGUAUGGCAGAGGGGGGUAGAAUUCCACGUGUAGCAGUGAAAUGCGUAGAGAUGUGGAGGAAUACCGAUGGCGAAGGCAGCCCCCUGGGCCAAUACUGACGCUCAUGCACGAAAGCGUGGGGAGCAAACAGGAUUAGAUACCCUGGUAGUCCACGCCCUAAACGAUGUCAACUAGUUGUUGGGUCUUCAUUGACUUAGUAACGUAGCUAACGCGUGAAGUUGACCGCCUGGGGAGUACGGUCGCAAGAUUAAAACUCAAAGGAAUUGACGGAACACUAUUCACUGUCACACCUGACCAUUCGCCCCGUUCUGAAAAGGCCCGAGCCAUGGCUUUUCUCGCUCGUGCCUUUUCGCAACUUCACGAUCGUUCCGGCCACCACUCGCAACAUUGCGGCGAGGGUCCAUGUUUUCUUGGUAGCCCGGCUCGGUUGACUUCGGCAUGCCAGCACCGGGCGUGACCAUAUCAAGGGUGAUGUUUGGCAAACGAUCCGGUUCCAAAACGCGGUUUCUAUUACCUCCAUGGUUUUUUACAGCCAUCGCGCCGUCCCAGGGCAACCGCGGGGGGCAAGCUAGCACCGUACAACUGGUUUGGUGGAAUCAUGUCUCUCGUCUAUGAGCUUGGCCAUUGACCUGCGACGAACCCGAAAAGUGGUCGCCAGCGCAUCUGGCCUGGCCAUCUACGCCGUAUGGCAAAGGACUUCUACCGCCAAGGCCACAAAUAAUCGCCUCUUAGCUGCUUGCUCGGGUUGACCUCGACAAGGCCUGUUGUGCUAGGCCAAAACUCAUCUGAUACCAUGCCAUUUAGCUGCCUGAAUACUCGUUCCAUACUCUCUCUGGGUGGCGCUUUCGUGUUGGACACAAACUUU